This is a long non-coding RNA of Teleopsis dalmanni, 232 nucleotides long. RefSeq lists it as uncharacterized. The transcript has 3 exons. NCBI's taxonomy places the organism in Eukaryota, Metazoa, Arthropoda, Insecta, Diptera, Diopsidae. The record is from RefSeq and is a predicted model, not a curated record.
AUAUAUAAAAAUCUUGAAAACUAAUGGAGAAAUCAAAUACACGCAAACUAUGAACCACAGAAGAAACGAAGUGUUUUCUAGAGUGUUACUUGACAUGAAAGCAAGGAUUUUUGAAAACAAGAAAAAAAAACUUGGAUACCAACAAGUGCUUGAGGACAUAAUAGCACAUGGAAUUGUAAUGACUCCACUCCAGUCUGCCUAGGAAGAAGAAUGUGCAUUAAAAGUGGCCAAA